This is a long non-coding RNA of Anas platyrhynchos (mallard), 974 nucleotides long. RefSeq lists it as uncharacterized. NCBI's taxonomy places the organism in Eukaryota, Metazoa, Chordata, Aves, Anseriformes, Anatidae. The record is from RefSeq and is a predicted model, not a curated record.
AAGAAAACACAGCCAAUUCGGGCGGAUAAAAGACUGCAGAAGUGGGUGUUUCUUUUAUGCGGGCCCACCGAUCUCCUUAAAAUCCCAUGACAAAUUCCAGUCUUGUUCCAAGUUCUGUUCUCAUCACUGGUCUCCCAUGCCAAAACUUUUCUCUCUCAGCUUCGCAUACUGAAACAACUCAGUCGACCACCAAACAGUGCAAAGGAAGCAGCAACGUGAAGCUGAGGUGUGUAAAAAGAGGUAGCCAGAGCCACUCUGCUCUCAGAAACAAGGAGGAAGAGGAGGCCCUGCAUCUGACAAGGCCACUUCUGUACUUUUGGCUGGGCAGUGUCCCUCAGCAAGAUAUCCUAUAUCUUCUGAUGAGUUCAGUGAAAUAAUGCACGCUCUCCAAGGAGGAAGAAAGCAGAAAGAGAACCUUCAUGCCUUGGCAUGGUGGCUAUUUCUACGGGGACUGGGCAGGCCACUGCAACAUGCUGGAGUAGAAAGUAGUACCUUACCUGCCCUUGGCAGCUUUUUUUCAUCAAAUUCUAGUUGCUGGUGAAAAAAAAAAUAUUAAUAAAAAAAAAAAAAAAAAUGGUGAUUGCCUUGCAGGGUUCUGGGGAGAGCCUAGCCUUACCGUGCAGCUUGCAGUUUCCAGGUGGCACACCUGGGAAAGUAUCAAGGAGAGCUGCAGUUGAUCAGUAAAUGGUGACCACUCAAAGUAAAGGCCAAAAUCCAAAGGACCAUUUAAGAAAAAUGUUGUCUGAGUAAAAAGCUAAGGCCAUGAGUCUUCAAAGAGCAUUCUGCAUUUCACCUCUCCUCGGAGAGCUUGUCAGGCUAGCCAGGAAAGAUGGAAAGAGCCAGCUAGUCCUUUUGUGUAGAAGACCACACAUCUAACAUGAGUACUCACAAUAUUGAGCUUUUCAAACACCAAAAAGUUUCCCGGUAGUUUUCUGAAGUGGACAAACAAAGUUCUGUUUCUUUGCAGCAUGAUC